Molecule: ribosomal RNA, 425 nt
Filed under: uncultured bacterium
Lineage: Bacteria
Description: partial 16S ribosomal RNA
Rfam family: Bacterial small subunit ribosomal RNA
Source: RNAcentral
GUGGGGAAUAUUGCACAAUGGGGGAAACCCUGAUGCAGCGACGCCGCGUGAGUGAAGAAGUAUUUCGGUACGUAAAGCUCUAUCAGCAAGGAAGAAAAUGACGGUACUUGACUAAGAAGCCCCGGCUAACUACGUGCCAGCAGCCGCGGUAAUACGUAGGGGGCAAGCGUUAUCCGGAUUUACUGGGUGUAAAGGGAGCGUAGACGGUAUGGUAAGUCAGAUGUGAAAGCCCGGGGCUCAACCCCGGGACUGCAUUUGAAACUAUCAGACUAGAGUGCAGGAGAGGUAAGUGGAAUUCCUAGUGUAGCGGUGAAAUGCGUAGAUAUUAGGAGGAACACCAGUGGCGAAGGCGGCCUGCUGGACAUUAACUGACGCUGAGGCGCGAAAGCGUGGGGAGCAAACAGGAUUAGAAACCCGGGUAGUCC